AUACGGAGGAUGCAAGCGUUAUCCGGAUUUAUUAGGUUUAAAGGGUGCGUAGGUGGGCGUUUAAGUCAGUGGUUAAAGCCAUUAGCUUAACUAAUGUAUGCCAUUGAUACUGGAUGUCUUGAAUAUGGUAGAGGUAGGCGGAAUGUGUUGUGUAGCGGUGAAAUGCUUAGAUAUAACACAGAACACCGAUUGCGAAGGCAGCUUACUAUUCCAUUAUUGACGCUGAUGCACGAAAGCGUGGGGAUCAAACAGGAUUAGAUACCCUGGUAGUCCACGCUGUAAACUAUGAUCACUCGUUUUUGGCGAUAUAUAGUCAGAGACUGAGCGAAAGCAUUAAGUGAUCCACCUGGGGAGUACGUUCGCAAGAAUGAA
RNAcentral lists this ribosomal RNA (372 nucleotides) under uncultured bacterium. RNAcentral describes it as "bacterial SSU rRNA". It matches the Rfam family "Bacterial small subunit ribosomal RNA", at positions 523 to 898 of the family's 1533-position model. The record is from RNAcentral.